GUUUGGGCGACUUCGGAAUAUCAAAUUUUUCACCAGGCCCGGUCGUCCUGCCAAAUUUCAUGAGUUUUCACCAGUGGGAAGUGGGCCAUUUUCCAGUUCAAAGGGGAGGAAAAAUAACUAGGGCCCCGGUGGGGCACUGUCGGGCCCGAGCCGCGUCGCGCCGCCCCUAGCGCGACCGCCUCCCCCUCCCGAUCGCGUCACACUCAAGGUCCAAAGAUGGUGUGCGCACUUGUCUGUGGUCAUUUCCCAUUAUAAUGAAUGGGAGGCGCAGUUUCUACCAAAACACUCGCUGCAGACAAACUUCAUGUCCUAUUUGAAAAAAGUCUGGACCAUGAGUGAGGGCACAAACACAGCUAUGAUAUAUCGAAAUGGCAGGUUGCUCCUCCUUACGGUGUUGCCUGGAGAGCGAUGCGAUUGAGCCAUUGAGCGAUGGGCAGGGUUAACUUGACUUUUUCUCCUGCCUUGGGGGGGAUGUGGAUUCCUUUAAGAAUGUGGAUUUUUGGGUCAUCUUUGGCGCCCCCUAGAACGUAAACCGUGGGGUGCAGCGUCAUGAUUUUUACAACUUUGAAUGGCCAUGGGGUGUAGAUUGGCCUGAGCAAAUUUGGUGUCAGUGGGACGAAAGCCUUAGGAGGAGUUAGCCACAUUCCAAUGUGUGCGAAUCGGCAAAAAAUGCAAAAUAGCCCUUUAACCGUACAUUUGACAGAUACGCGCACAUUGACUUUUUUGUAGAUCUUAUUGAGAUACAUAUGUGUGUCAAUUUUUGUGUCAAUAUGAUAAAGCGUACAGGCGUGACAGUCAAUAGUGUGAAUUUCCACCUUAGGGGACAAGAAAAAAUUGACUUUUUUCUCCUGCCAUGGGGGGGCGCUCUUUUGGGGAGUAAAAAUUCCUUCACAAAUGUGUUGAUGGCUGGACAUUGCAUCAUCCUAGAAAACUUGGAGGCCAGUGAGGACAAAAAUAAAAAGUUAUAAGACUUUUAAAUAUGUGGAUUUUAGUGUUAUCUUUGGCGCCCCCUAGAACCUAAACCUUGGGGUGCAGCGUCAUGAUUUGAAUAACUUUUAAUGGCCAUGGGGUGUAGAUUGGCCUGAGCAAAUGUGGUGCCGGUGGAACGAAAGCCUUCGGAGGAGUUAGCGAAAUUCCAAUGUGUGCGGAUCGGCAAAAAAUGCGGAAUAACCCUUUAACCGUACAUUUGACAGAUACGCGCGCAUUGACUUUUUCGUAGAUCUUAUUGAGAUACAUGUGUGUGUCAAUUUUUGUGUCAUUUUGCCAAAGCAUACAAGUGUUACACUCAACAAUGUGUAUUUUCACCUUAGGGGACAAGAAAAAAUGGACUUUUUUCUCCUGCCAUGGGGGGGCGCUCUUUUGGGGAUUAAAAAUUCCUUCACAAAUGUGUUGAUGGCUGGACAUUGCAUCAUCCUAGAAAACUUGGAGGCCAGUGAGGGCAAAAAUAAAAAGAUAUAAGACUUUUAAAUAUGUGGAUCUUAGGUGUAUCUUUGGCGCCCCCUAGAACCUAAACCGUGGGGUGCAGCGUCAUGAUUUGAAUAACUUUUAAUGGCCAUGGGGUGUAGAUUGGCCUGAGCAAAUGUGGUGCCGGUGGAACGAAAGCCUUCGGAGGAGUUAGCGAAAUUCCAAUGUGUGCGGAUCGGCAAAAAAUGCGAAAUAACCCUUUAACCGUACAUUUGACAGAUACGCCCGCACUGACUUUUUUGUAGAUCUUAUUGAGAUACAUGUGUGUGUCAAUUUUUGUGUCAUUUUGACAAAGCGUACACGCGUGACAGUCAAUAGUGUGAAUUUUCACCUUAGGGGGCGCUAUGGAGCCAUUUUGCAUUUUCUUGUUUGGGCGACUUCGGAAUAUCAAAUUUUUCACCAGGCCCGGUCGUCCUGCCAAAUUUCAUGAGUUUUCGCCAGUGGGAAGUGGGCCAUUUUCCAGUUCAAAGGGGAGGAAAAAUAAUAACUAGGGCCCCGUUGGGGCACUGGCGGGCCCGAGCUGUGUCACGCCGCCCCCAACACGACCGCCUCUCCCUCCCGAUCGCGUCACACUCAAGGUUCAACGAUGGUGUGCGCACUUGUCUGUGGUCAUUUACCAUUAUAAUGAAUGGGAGGCGCAGUUUCUACCAAAACGCUUGCUGCAGACAAACUACAUGUCCUAUUUGAAAAAAGUCUGGACCAUGAGUGAGGGCACAAACACAGCUAGGAUAUAUCCAAAUGGCAAGUUCCUCCUCCUUUCGUUUUUUUCCGAGAGAGCGAUGUGUUUGAGCCAUUGAGCGAUGGGCAGGAAAAACUUGACUUUUUCUCCUGCCAUGGGGGGGCACUCUUUUAGGGAGAAAAAAUUCCUUCACAAAUGUGUUGAUGGCUAGACAUUGCAUCAUCCUAGAAAACUUUGAAGCCAGUGAGGACAAAAAUGAAAAGUUAUAAGACUUUUAAGAAUGUGGAUUUUUGGGUUAUCUUUGGCGACCCCUAGAACGUAAACCGUGGGGUGCAGCGUCAUGAUUUGUACAACUUUUAAUGGCCAUGGGGUGUAGAUUGGCCUGAGCAAAUUUGGUGCCGGUGGAACGAAAGCUUUAGGAGGAGUUAGCCACAUUCCAAUGUGUGCGAAUCAACCAAAAAUGCGAAAUAGCCCUUUAACCGUACAUUUUGCAGACACGUGCACAUUGACUUUUUCGUAGAUCUUAUUGAGAUACACGUGAUUAUCAAAUUUUGUUUCAAUAUGACAAAGCGUACAGGCGUGACACUCAACAAUGUGUAUUUUCACCUUAGGGGACAAGAAAAAAUGGACUUUUUUCUCCUGCCAUGGGGGGGCGCUCUUUUGGGGAGUAAAAAUUCCUUCACAAAUGUGUUGAUGGCUGGACAUUGCAUCAUCCUAGAGAACUUGGAGGCCAGUGAGGACAAAAAUAAAAAGUUAUAAGACUUUUAAGAAUGUGGAUUUUUGGGUUAUCUUUGGCGCCCCCUACAACGUAAACCGUGGGGUGCAGCGUCAUGAUUUGUACAACUUUGAAUGGCCAUGGGGUGUAGAUUGGCCUGAGCAAAUUUGGUGCCGGUGGAACGAAAGCCUUCGGAGGAGUUAGCGAAAUUCCAAUGUGUGCGGAUCGGCAAAAAAUGCGAAAUAACCCUUUAACCGUACAUUUGACAGAUACGCCCACACUGACUUUUUUGUAGAUCGUAUUGAGAUACAUGUGUGUGUCAAUUUUUGUGUCAUUUUGACAAAGCGUACAGGCGUCAGGUGAGUUUUCACCAUAGGGGGCGCUAUGGAGCCAUUUUUCAUUUUUUUGUUUGGGCGACUUCAGAAUAUCAAAUUUUUCACCAGGCCCGGUCGUCCUGCCAAAUUUCCUGAGUUUUCGCCAGUGGGAAGUGGGCCAUUUUCCAGUUUAAAGCGGAGGAAAAAUAACUAGGACCCCGUUGGGGCACUUGCGGGCCCGAGCCGUGUCGCGUCCCCCCCAACGUGCUGCCUCCCCGUCCCAUUUGUGUCCUCUGGCCAUCGCCCUCUCCGGUAACGCCCAUCACUGCAAAGACCCUUUUCCUUCAUCGGCGUUUGCUGUUCUUCCUGCCAGUGCGUGUUGCUUUCACUUACACUUGCCACAGCCAGCCUCGUGAGUGCCUAGCCUAUUGGAUAUCACUGUCACCUACACAGGACAGUCAUUACCUUUCUAUUAAUACUUUGUGUUUUAAUUUCACAUUAAUUUCCAUAUUGUAUAAACGACUGGAAAAAACUUGAGCCCCUGCCCCUGUAUAAUCAUGUGCAUGUCUCUGUUCUAGCUCCAAGGUGAAUCUUCACUGCUCAUGUUCUCCUCAGAAGCACUCACCUCACUCCCCUCAGGUUACUGUACACAUGCACCAACUGCCUGCUUCAGGUUUGGAUGGAGCUUCAUGGUUGUCUUUUGGAGAAAUGACCAAUCAAGUUGUGUUUGAAAUUUGAUUUUUUUCAGGGGCAAAAGGAGCCUCUGCAUUCUUGUCAAAUAUGUAAAUAGCAUGUUUUUGCAGGUGCUAAAAACCAGACUCUGAGUGUGUGUGUGUGUGUGUGUGUGUGUGUGUGUGUGUGUGUGUGUGUGUGUGUGCGUGUGUGUGUGUCUGUGUGUGCGUUCAAGUCACAUGACAUAUUUAAUCGGAUGUAGCUGCAAGACGGAGCCUCGUUGACUCUCCGUUUCAACUUAUCUCAAAAGUGAGGAGCUCAACCUAUAUACCAGUUUUUAAAUUGUGUUGAUAGGCCAAAUAAAACCAGAGUUAUGAUAAAUUAUGUCCGCGAUACUUUUUUUCUGCUUAUUUUGAUCACGUUCGGCGCUCGAUCGCGCUGUAUGAGACAGGAAAACAUAGCAUGCAGACAUUAGCGACAGGUCUUACAGGCGGAAAAGGUUUGCCAAAAGAAAAAAAAAACACACCACAACAUCUCUCCUAUUGGUGGAAAACUUCACCACAACAACCAAUCCAAAAUUAUAUGGUGACUGAUUGACAAGGGGCGGGCGCUUACGUUCUUCCUGCAACAUGAGAAGGGAGGGAGGGACUCUCAGCAGGGAUGCAGUCUGGGAAACGUAGUUGCAAACCUAGCGACUUUGUUGUUAGAUUCAAUGACUUUUCAGACCCCCUAACGACUUUUUUUUAGAAAGAAAGGGACUUUUAUCGACUUCUUCUGGAGUUUAGAGACUCUGACAUGAAGCAGGCUUUCCUUACUGAGGAGUUAGCAACGCUGCUAAGGGUGCAGAGCCACACAUGCGCUCAGAGCUCUGCAUGGGAGACUGAAGCUGACAGAGCUGCAGCAGUUAGCAGGUUUCACCCUCAGAGACCACCAGGGGUUCAUGUUGAGGCAUUUUAAUUUUUUUUUUGUGCCAUAGACACUGUCAGCACAAUCUGCAGUUACACUAACAAAAAUGCUCCAAAAAACAAAGAAUUAUGGAAAAAUUACACAUGGACUGACAUAGAGGAGGAUCUACACAAGUUUUUUACAUCAUGUUUUACAUCAUGCAUCAUUUACAUCAUGUUUUUUUGUAGUGGCAUAAAUAAAAAGUGACAUUUGUGAGACUAUACAGUGUUUUGUAAAUAAUUUUACAAAGAACGCCUGGGCCAUUGCCUGCAUUUUGAUGAAAAUAGUGUAAAUCACUAUGUUCUUUGUUAAAAAUUUGCAUAUGUUUUGAAGUUUACAAUUUUUAUUUGAAGUUUAAGUUUUAAAAACAGUUCAUCACACAUAUUUGUGGUUUUCACAGUAAAAAUGUUACUUUUUUCCACUCGGAUUUUAUGUUUUGUGUGUGAAUUUGGGUCCAUUGUGUAAAUUCAGUAUGUCAACAUGAUAAAAUAACUGUAAAUUCGCACAGGUGAGGUUGUGCUGAAAAAAAUGAUACCAGGCAAGGCACGUGAUUGUCAAAUUUUGUGUCAAUAUGACAAAGCGUAUAGGCGUGAAUCUCAACAAUAUGUAUUUUCACCUUAGGGGACAAGAAAAAAUGGACUUUUUUCUCCUGCCAUGGGGGGGCGCUCUUUUGGGGAGUAAAAAUUCCUUCACAAAUGUGUUGAUGGCUGGACAUUGCAUCAUCCUAGAAAACUUGGAGGCCAGUGAGGACAAAAAUAAAAAGUUAUAAGACUUUGAAAUAUGUGGAUUUUAGGGUUAUCUUUGGCGCCCCCUAGAACCUAAACCGUGGGGUGCAGCGUCAUGAUUUGAAUAACUUUUAAUGGCCAUGGGGUGUAGAUUGUCCUGAGCAAAUGUGGUGCCGGUGGAACGAAAGCCUUAGGAGGAGUUAGCCACAUUCCAAUGUUUGCGGAUCGGCAAAAAAUGCGGAAUAACCCUUUAACCGUACAUUUGACAGAUACGCGCGCAUUGACUUUUUCGUAGAUCUUAUUGAGUUACAUGUGCGUGUCAAUUUUUGUGUCAUUUUGACAAAGCGUAUAGGCGUGACACUCAACAAUGUGUAUUUUCACCUUAGGGGACAAGAAAAAUGGACUUUUUUCUCCUGCCAUGGGGGGGCGCUCUUUUGGGGAGUAAAAAUUCCUUCACAAAUGUGUUGAUGGCUGGACAUUGCAUCAUCCUAGAAAACUUGGAGGCCAGUGAGGACAAAAAUAAAAAGUUAUAAGACUUUUAAAUAUGUGGAUUUUAGUGUUAUCUUUGGCGCCCCCUAGAACCUAAACCUUGGGGUGCAGCGUCAUGAUUUUGAUAACUUUUAAUGGCCACGGGGUGUAGAUUGGCCUGAGCAAAUGUGGUGCCGGUGGAACGAAAGCCUUCGGAGGAGUUAGCGAAAUUCCAAUGUGUGCGGAUCGGCAAAAAAUGCGAAAUAACCCUUUAACCGUAAUUUUGACAGAUACGGCCGCACUGACUUUUUUGUAGAUCUUAUUGAGAUACAUAUGUGUGUCAAUUUUUGUGUCAAUAUGACAAAGCGUACAGGCGUGACAGUCAAUAGUGUGAAUUUCCACCUUAGGGGGCGCUAUGGAGCCAUUUUGCAUUUUCUUGUUUGGGCGACUUCAGAAUAUCGAAUUUUUCACCUGGCCCGGUCGUCCUGCCAAAUUUCAUGAGUUUUCGCCAGUGGGAAGUGGGCCAUUUUCCAGUUCAAAGGGGAGGAAAAAGAAGAAAGAAAGAAAGAAUUACUAUGUUCUUUGUUAAAAAUUUGCAUAUGUUUUGAAGUUUACAAUUUUUAUUUGAAGUUUAAGUUUUAAAAACAGUUCAUCACACAUAUUUGUGGUUUUCACAGUAAAAACGUUACUUUUUUCCACUCGGAUUUUAUGUUUUGUGUGUGAAUUUGGGUCCAAUGUGUAAAUAUAGUAUGUCAAAAUGGUAAAAUAACUGUAAAUUGACACAGGUGAGGUUGUGCUGAAAAAAAUGAUACCAGGCAAGGCAAGGUAAAAAUUUUGUAAGAGGAAAUAUAAAGGUAAAAUCUAAAGUAGUCAAAAACGGCCAAUAGUGACUCACAGACUCCACAGACAAGUCCCUUUGGCGCCACUCAGUGGGCAAAACUACUUUGUCUACUGUAAUGUAUAUUUGGGUCAUCUUUGGCGCCCCCUAAAACGUAAACCGUGGGGUGCAGCGUCAUGAUUUUUACAACUUUGAAUGGCCAUGGAGUGUAGAUUGGCCUGAGCAAAUUUGGUGUCAGUGGGACGAAAGCCUUAGGAGGAGUUAGCGAAAUUCCAAUGUGUGCGAAUCGGCAAAAAAUGCAAAAUAGCCCUUUUACCGUACAUUAUACAGAUACGCGCUCUUUGACUUUUUCGUAGAUCUAAUUGAGAUACACAUGAUUGUCAAUUUUUGUGUCAUUUUGCCAAAGCGUACAGGCGUGACAGUCAACAAUGUGUAUUUUCACCUUAGGGGACAAGAAAAAAUGGACUUUUUUCUCCUGCCAUGGGGGGCGCUCUUUUGGGGAGUAAAAAUUCCUUCACAAAUGUGUUGAUGGCUGGACAUUGCAUCAUCCUAGAAAACUUGGAGGCCAGUGAGGAUAAAAAUAAAAAGUUAUAAGACUUUUAAAAAUGUGGAUUUUUGGGUUAUCUUUGGCGCCCCCUAGAACGUAAACCGUGGGGUGCAGCGUCAUGAUUUGAAUAACUUUUAAUGGCCAUGGGGUGUAGAUUGGCCUGAGCAAAUGUGGUGCCGGUGGAACGAAAGCCUUCGGAGGAGUUAGCGAAAUUCCAAUGUGUGCGGAUCGGCAAAAAAUGCGAAAUAACCCUUUAACCGUACAUUAGACAGAUACGCGCGCAUGGACUUUUUUGUAGAUCUUAUUGAGAUACAUGUGUGUGUCAAUUUUUGUGUCAUUUUGACAAAGCGUACAGGCGUGACAGUCAA
Xyrichtys novacula (pearly razorfish) is the source of this 7735-nucleotide non-coding RNA. The record is from the annotation of a GenBank genome assembly. Lineage: Eukaryota; Metazoa; Chordata; Actinopteri; Labriformes; Labridae.